This is a long non-coding RNA of Homo sapiens (human), 917 nucleotides long. RefSeq lists it as uncharacterized. The record is from RefSeq and is a predicted model, not a curated record. The transcript is spliced from 2 exons. Lineage: Eukaryota; Metazoa; Chordata; Mammalia; Primates; Hominidae.
UAAAGGGAUAUUUGCAUAAAGGGAUAUUUUAUCUAUGUGUGGAUCUUAGAGGGAAUUAUGAUAUCUCCUGAAUAGGAAUAGAUCCCAAGAUGUAAAAUUUUAUUCUAUGAGGAUAGAAUGAAACAUGUUUCUGAGACCUCAGUUAUAAGCCUGCAUUCACAUGCAUCGAGAAGGUAAAAGUAGGCUUUACUUGCUGGUUGAAAACGAAGUGAAGGUCUUUUCCAGUAAUAAUAACAAUUAUUAUUAACAAUAAAAUUAACAAUAAAUUUUUGUUUCUUUUAUCUUCUUUAUUUCUUCCUCUCUUUAGAAUUUUCCUUUUCUUGUUUUGUACCCAAUGGACUUUGGAAACUCCACACAUCUUUUGGAUUCUGGAAGGUUUUGGUCUGGGUCUGAUUCUUAUAUAAGUACAUAUUUGGGGAGAAGGGAGGUUUGGUUAGAAAGAGUUGUUCUCUCUGUCAUAUAUUUGUGGUAAAGGUAUUUCAAAGGAAAAAGAGAAGCUAUCAUUUAAAAGUUGUCACUGAGAAAAUUUCAUUAAUGGGUUUAAAUGUUGCCUACAAAGUAUAAUAGAAUUCUAGUUUUUGAUUAUAAAACUUGUGGAUUUUUCACUAGUGAGAUUAUAUACGUUGGAAUGGAACUAAAUCCAGGGAAACAAAAAUGAUAUAGCCACUAUAUAGGAUAUCAUACUUAAUACAGUUAAUCAACUCAGAGUUGGUAUUAACUUAUACAAAUAAUAUCUAUUUAUUCUGAUAUCUUAAUAAUACUAUUAUGAUCAAUGAUAAAAUAGCCAAAAUUUAUUGUUAACUUCCUGUUUACCAGGCACUAUGCUAACUACUUUAAAACACUUAUGUACUCCUCACACAAACUGUAUGGGAUUAUAAAACACUUAGGUACUCCUCACACAAACUGUAUGGGAUUAU